Molecule: ribosomal RNA, 372 nt
Filed under: uncultured prokaryote
Description: bacterial SSU rRNA
Source: RNAcentral
AGAACGAACGCUGGCGGCGUGCCUAACACAUGCAAGUCCAACGUGAAAGGGGGGCGAAUCCCCGGUACGGGGUGGCAAACGGGUAGGAGUAAUACAUGGGUGGAUCUACCUUACGGGAGUGGGGAGUAUCCUUCCGAAAGGAAGGGGCGAAUAACCGAACUAUUGUUCCGGACGGCCGUCGAAGGGUUACCGGGGGUAAACGGGGAAGGGCCGUCCUGAUACAAGACUUUCGUCCUUAACGUAAUGAGCCCACUGGCCCGACUCAGCUAGUUGGUUAGGGGUAAAGGGACCGUACCCAACGGACGUACGACGGGUCGGCUGGUCGUGAGAGGACGGACCACGCCACCACUGGCGACUGAGAUACGGGCCGAC